This 253-nucleotide ribosomal RNA is filed under the name uncultured bacterium. RNAcentral describes it as "partial 16S ribosomal RNA". It matches the Rfam family "Bacterial small subunit ribosomal RNA", at positions 524 to 776 of the family's 1533-position model. The record is from RNAcentral.
CACGUAGGGGACGAGCGUUGUCCGGAUUCAUUGGGCGUAAAGCGCGCGUAGGCGGCUCGGAAAGUCGGUCGUGAAAUGCCGGGGCUCAACCCCGGGACUGCGUCCGAUACUCCCGAGCUGGAGGCAGGUAGGGGAGAUCGGAAUUCCUGGUGUAGCGGUGAAAUGCGCAGAUAUCAGGAGGAACACCGGUGGCGAAGGCGGAUCUCUGGGCCUUGCCUGACGCUGAGGCGCGAAAGCUAGGGGAGCAAACAGG